AACGAACGCUGGCGGCGUGCUUAACACAUGCAAGUCGAACGGAAAGGCCCUGCUUUUGUGGGGUGCUCGAGUGGCGAACGGGUGAGUAACACGUGAGUAACCUGCCCUUGACUUUGGGAUAACUUCAGGAAACUGGGGCUAAUACCGGAUAGGAGCUCCUGCUGCAUGGUGGGGGUUGGAAAGUUUCGGCGGUUGGGGAUGGACUCGCGGCUUAUCAGCUUGUUGGUGGGGUAGUGGCUUACCAAGGCUUUGACGGGUAGCCGGCCUGAGAGGGUGACCGGCGACCUUGGGACUGAGAUACGGCCCAGACUCCUACGGGCGGCAGCAGUGGGGAAUAUUGCACAAUGGGCGGAAGCCUGAUGCAGCAACGCCGCGUGCGGGAUGACGGCCUUCGGGUUGUAAACCGCUUUCGCCUGUGACGAAGCGGGAGUGACGGUAAUGGGUAAAGAAGCACCGGCUAACUACGUG
This 468-nucleotide ribosomal RNA is filed under the name uncultured bacterium. Its description in RNAcentral is "partial 16S ribosomal RNA". It matches the Rfam family "Bacterial small subunit ribosomal RNA", at positions 28 to 507 of the family's 1533-position model. The record is from RNAcentral.